CACGGAGUUAGCCGGGGUUUCUUUACCGGGUACCGUCAUUAUCUUCCCCGGCGAAAGGGCUUUACGACCCUAAGGCCUUCAUCACCCACGCGGCAUGGCUAGAUCAGGCUUGCGCCCAUUGUCCAAGAUUCCCCACUGCUGCCUCCCGUAGGAGUCUGGGCCGUGUCUCAGUCCCAGUGUUGCUGAUCAUCCUCUCAAACCAGCUACCGAUCGUCGGCUUGGUGCGCCGUUACCACACCAACUACCUAAUCAGACGCGGGCCGAUCCCUUGCCGGCCGAAGCCUUUCCCCCUCAGGGCACAUCCGGUAUUACCCCCGGUUUCCCAGGGCUAUUCCAGAGCAAAGGCACGUUCCACGCGUUACUACCGUCGCCGCUGACGCCCGAAAGCGCCCGCUCGACUUGCAUGUGUUAAGCCUGCCGCCAGCGUUCGUUCUGAGCCAGGAUCAAACUCU
RNAcentral lists this ribosomal RNA (452 nucleotides) under uncultured Rubellimicrobium sp. Its description in RNAcentral is "partial 16S ribosomal RNA". The record is from RNAcentral. Lineage: Bacteria; Pseudomonadati; Pseudomonadota; Alphaproteobacteria; Rhodobacterales; Roseobacteraceae.